RNAcentral lists this unclassified non-coding RNA (344 nucleotides) under uncultured fungus. Its description in RNAcentral is "partial contains small subunit ribosomal RNA, internal transcribed spacer 1, and 5.8S ribosomal RNA". The stretch from base 1 to 73 matches the Rfam family "Eukaryotic small subunit ribosomal RNA", at positions 1759 to 1831 of the family's 1831-position model. Lineage: Eukaryota; Fungi. The record is from RNAcentral.
GCAAACUUGGUCAUUUAGAGGAAGUAAAAGUCGUAACAAGGUUUCCGUAGGUGAACCUGCGGAAGGAUCAUCAUCGAAUUCAUAUCCUUCUCCGACCGGAGGAGGACCUAUGAUAAACCCUUAUGUGCACCGUAAACCGUUCACUUUGGCAGGCUUUAGUGGUGAGCGUGAGCUCGUCAACCUCGCGUUCCCUCCCUAGGGGGGUUGCGCGUGGCGGCCUGCCGGAGUCCUCCAAUGAAAAACACGUUUUCGAACACGACUGAAAUUUCCUUUGAGAAAUCAAAGAACCGAAAACAACUUUCAACAACGGAUCUCUUGGCUCUCGCAUCGAUGAAGAACGCAGC